RNAcentral lists this ribosomal RNA (484 nucleotides) under uncultured bacterium. Its description in RNAcentral is "partial 16S ribosomal RNA". It matches the Rfam family "Bacterial small subunit ribosomal RNA", at positions 29 to 507 of the family's 1533-position model. The record is from RNAcentral.
AUUGAACGCUGGCGGCAUGCUUUACACAUGCAAGUCGAACGGCAGCGCGGGCUUCGGCCUGGCGGCGAGUGGCGAACGGGUGAGUAAUACAUCGGAACGUGCCCAGUAGUGGGGGAUAUCUCGGCGAAAGCCGGAUUAAUACCGCAUACGACCUGAGGGUGAAAGCGGGGGAUCUUCGGACCUCGCGCUAUUGGAGCGGCCGAUGGCAGAUUAGCUAGUUGGUGGGGUAAAGGCCUACCAAGGCGACGAUCUGUAGCUGGUCUGAGAGGACGACCAGCCACACUGGGACUGAGACACGGCCCAGACUCCUACGGGAGGCAGCAGUGGGGAAUUUUGGACAAUGGGCGAAAGCCUGAUCCAGCAAUGCCGCGUGUGUGAUGAAGGCCUUCGGGUUGUAAAGCACUUUUGGCGGGAACGAAAAGGACUGUGCCAAUACCACGGUUCGAUGACGGUACCCGCAGAAUAAGCACCGGCUAACUACGUG